Molecule: ribosomal RNA, 305 nt
Filed under: uncultured bacterium
Lineage: Bacteria
Description: partial 16S ribosomal RNA
Rfam family: Bacterial small subunit ribosomal RNA
Source: RNAcentral
ACAGCAGUCGCCGCGGUAAUGCGAAGGGUGCAAGCGUUAAUCGGAAUUACUGGGCGUAAAGCGUGCGUAGGCGGUUUGUUAAGUCUGUUGUGAAAUCCCCGGGCUCAACUUGGGAAUGGCAAUGGAUACUGGCAAGCUAGAGUGUGUCAGAGGAUGGUGGAAUUCCCGGUGUAGCGGUGAAAUGCGUAGAGAUCGGGAGGAACAUCAGUGGCGAAGGCGGCCAUCUGGGACAACACCGACGCUGAGGCACGAAAGCGUGGGGAGCAAACAGGAUUAGAUACCCCUGUAGUCCCUGUCUCUUAUAA